Long non-coding RNA from Mus caroli (Ryukyu mouse), 1114 nucleotides. RefSeq lists it as uncharacterized. The record is from RefSeq and is a predicted model, not a curated record. NCBI's taxonomy places the organism in Eukaryota, Metazoa, Chordata, Mammalia, Rodentia, Muridae.
AGUAUUGAGCUUAAAGUAGAUGACUUGGAGCAGAGGAGAUAUUCCCUCUGUGUAUUCCUUGAUUUCUUCUGAGUUGCUGACGAGGUGAACAGUGGCCUCACCCCGAGUUCCUAAUCUGGCUUCUCCUUUUGUGUUUGUGCCUUAACUACAGAAUCCACAGACCACGUCCAUUGUGGUAAAUUCCUCUUUCAGCUUUUAUUGGGUCUUUAUUGCCACCAAAAACCCCACACCGUUUAAGCAUUUUAGGAGCAAACUGUGAAUGUGUGUUCUCCUCCUCCGUGACAUCUCUACGGUCAGUUCAGUACUACAAAGAAAGCCUUCCAAGUGUUCUCCUGACUCUUCAGACCAUUUCAGUAUCCUCAAUAUGGUCAAUUUUUCCCACUUACCAGUGAUUGGGUGGCCUGGUUGGUUCUCAUGGAACUACACAUGUCCUUGUACUAUAGACAAUAACCGUGUAAUCAUGUGUGAUUCUGUCUUCCUUAAUCAUUUUCAGGGCAAAUGACUUUAAAAAGAUAUUUAAGGGACACAUAAAGAUUAGAGCAAUUAUGAGGGGUUUGUUGGAGCAGGAGACUAAUUUGUAAAACUCAUCCCCUUGAGUCAGCAGAGAGGGGGGAGCUGACCGUCACUGCUCCCAUCUGCCAAUGGCUCUGUCAUGUCUGAGCUUUUGUUUUGUGUUUUCUAUGUUAGCAGUAGCUGAAUACCUACCUAUCAUUUAAAUAUUUAAAUGUACUAUCUCUCUCCCCUUUUCUUUUUGUAAAUAAGGGAACAAAGCAAUCAAACACCUUCUGGGGGAUCCUAGCUUGAGGAUUUUAUCAACCAUUUCAAAUGUAAAUGUAAAAAUCAGUCCCUGUAGGAAACUCGCAUCCCCAUUUCUGUUUGUUGCAGUUGGAAAUGUAAAUAAGAUGCUGUAAGACCUCCCUUAAGGUCUAAUGCUAACUGGGCAGUAGCAGGUUGGUUGCCCUAUUUUUAUUAGGUUUUGAAGGUUUUAAUUUUCUUUCUUUCCUAAAUGUACAGUAGAAUGGUGUCCAUGUGUAAGUGUCGACUGUAGUGGGGUUUGUCCAGCAGGCCUGAACUUUAUACUUUGAAAUAAAUGACUGAGUUUUUAACAUUCUGA